AGUCUGUCUACAGAUUCAAUCUAAACAAAUUGCAACAGAAAAGAUUUUUUUAAUAUCAUAUGAGAUUAUCAUAGCACAUUAACAUUAAAAAAGUCUAACAAAAUCGUACGGUCGGAAAUCGGUGAAAAUUGAAAAUAAAAAUAACGGUGAUGUGCCUACCGAUUCAUGUCAGAAAUGGUCCGCCAUAUCGACAAGGGGAGAAGACUCUUACAUAUGUCAAUUUAUAGAAACCUACUGAGUAGAUGAUAUCACUGAAAGAAUCGCUAACAUAAAUUUAUGUUAUUAUACAAAUAUGCUGCUAUCACUUGAAGUGACCUAUGUUCGAUUCAGCAUCAUUAUUUUAUUGGAGCUAACCACAGUCACUGUGCUAAUUGUUUAGCGCAAGGAUCAUUUCUAUAUCAGCUACAACUAUACCAUGGAGAAAUGCAUUGUGUGCCUAAAAGAUGACCACCCAACAACGCUGAUCAAAUUGCGACAAAAAGGUUGUCUUGGAAUCACCAGAGCUAGCCAGGAAAGAGGAGACUGUUUGUCCGCAUUAGAGGGUAAUUUUGUCCAUCAACUCUGCAGGAAAACAUAUACCAAUCCAAAUGAUAUAAAGAAAUACAAAAAAGAAAAACUUGUUCUACGAGAAACAAAUACAAACACUCCAAAAUUACGAUCAAAGUCCCAUUUUGAUUUUAAACAUCAUUGUUUAUUCUGUGGAAAUGAAGCAACAGACUCCAAGAAAAAAGACAAAAAUGUAUUUCCAGUUCGUACUGAUGAUUUUGAGAGUAGCAUACAAGAUGCUUGUGAUCUUCGAAAUGAUGAUUGGGCAGCCGAGGUUCGCGGAAGACUUGAGAGCGUGAGC
Molecule: long non-coding RNA, 847 nt
Organism: Mytilus californianus (California mussel)
Lineage: Eukaryota; Metazoa; Mollusca; Bivalvia; Mytilida; Mytilidae
Exons: 3
Source: RefSeq, a predicted model, not a curated record